This 253-nucleotide ribosomal RNA is filed under the name uncultured bacterium. Its description in RNAcentral is "partial 16S ribosomal RNA". It matches the Rfam family "Bacterial small subunit ribosomal RNA", at positions 524 to 776 of the family's 1533-position model. The record is from RNAcentral.
UACAGAGGUCUCAAGCGUUGUUCGGAUUCAUUGGGCGUAAAGAGCACGCAGGCGGUUUGGCAAGUCGGAUGUGAAAACCCGAAGCUCAACUUCGGGCCUGCAUCCGAAACUGCCCGACUAGAGGUAGGUAGGGGAGAUCGGAAUUCCUGGUGUAGCGGUGAAAUGCGCAGAUAUCAGGAGGAACACCGGUGGCGAAGGCGGAUCUCUGGGCCUUACCUGACGCUCAGGUGCGAAAGCUAGGGGAGUGAACAGG